RNAcentral lists this ribosomal RNA (469 nucleotides) under uncultured Curtobacterium sp. RNAcentral describes it as "bacterial SSU rRNA". It matches the Rfam family "Bacterial small subunit ribosomal RNA", at positions 913 to 1382 of the family's 1533-position model. Lineage: Bacteria; Bacillati; Actinomycetota; Actinomycetes; Micrococcales; Microbacteriaceae. The record is from RNAcentral.
ACGGGGGCCCGCACAAGCGGCGGAGCAUGCGGAUUAAUUCGAUGCAACGCGAAGAACCUUACCAAGGCUUGACAUACACCGGUAACGCCCAGAGAUGGGUGCCCCUUUGUGGUCGGUGGACAGGUGGUGCAUGGUUGUCGUCAGCUCGUGUCGUGAGAUGUUGGGUUAAGUCCCGCAACGAGCGCAACCCUCGUCCUAUGUUGCCAGCGGGUCAUGCCGGGGACUCAUGGGAGACUGCCGGGGUCAACUCGGAGGAAGGUGGGGAUGACGUCAAAUCAUCAUGCCCCUUAUGUCUUGGGCUUCACGCAUGCUACAAUGGCCGGUACAAAGGGCUGCGAUACCGCGAGGUGGAGCGAAUCCCAGAAAGCCGGUCUCAGUUCGGAUUGGGGUCUGCAACUCGACCCCAUGAAGUCGGAGUCGCUAGUAAUCGCAGAUCAGCAACGCUGCGGUGAAUACGUUCCCGGGCCUU